AUCUGGAUUUUGAGUUCCUGGGGGAUACAAAUUGAAGUUCGAGCUAUUUUUACUGUUGUUCUGUUGAGUAGCUACUGAACCUCGAUAGGAUUCGGAAUCAAAAGGUGUAUUGUCGUGAACAUAGUUAUUAAAUGGAUUUGAAAUUUCAGGUUCAGUUUCUUUCUCUUUCGCAUCUCUGUUAUAAAGUAUAUUUGAACAAUGAGAUUUUGUUCAGAAUGAUGUUUGGUUUUGGGCGUAAUUCUUUUGUGGUUGAAGUGCUUCACAACGGUGUGAUGUAUUUGAAUAUUUUUAGUUAGUAGAAGUUGAUUUUGAGUGGUCAUUUUUCUAUGAUUUAAUAGUUAUUGUGAUGUUGAGUUUCAUUUGAGUCAAGGUUUUGUCGCUUUCAAAUGAACGAUGUGCUCAACUUCCGUGAUUGCUAAGCGAGCAUGAAACUGUGAGGUUAUUUUUCAUUUUGUGUGCUCUAAAUGAUCUGCUCCCAUGAGAUCAUUGUGUUUAUCAGAAUUUUUCUUUCUUUAGGCUAGAAUUUACUAAAUUGUUUAAUCUUCUUUUUCCCUAGUUUUUAUUACUAUUUGACCUGUUCUUGCUUGUCUGGAGCUGCUGAAGUUCUCCUCAACAGUAUGCGAUCCUUAUGUCUUAUCAUUUGAGAUGACCAGUGAGUUUCAUGUCUCCAGUGGUCAUUUCUGUUUGUUGAACAUCUUAAAACAACAUUUAACAUGUAACUUAUUAGUGUGUGUUUUGCUUCACUUGAAAGCAGCUGAUAUCUGUUAGCUUUUCUUGAAUCUUUUGUCCUGUUGAAGCAUAAAGGAUGAGACUCCAUCCCCUGACUAAAUGGUUAAAUGCUUUGUUUUAAUCGAUGGUUGAGGCGUGUUGUUUUAUCUUGGUUUUGUUUUAUAGAAGAUGGCAGUGUUUAGCCCGAGCUAGCAACAGAGUCACGAGUUUGAUAUUAGGGAAAGUGUUUCUUUUACUGCAAUAUUGUUUGAAAGCAUAUGAGUAUAUGGUCGAAUCCCUGUUUAUGAAUCUGUGUCGACUGGCGAAAGAGAUAGAUAAGCCAGUUAAAUGAGGAGAUGAGUUCGGAGACAGAUUGUUGGAUGAACAUCUUAAUUAUGCUUGGGUUAACUUUGAUUGUUUCUUGUGUGGAAUGAUAACAAGAUGAACGUGAUAAAACUCGACGACAUAGGCCUAAAGUAUCCUAAGGGUUUUGUUUACUCAGCGUAGUAGAAUUACAUAUUGAACAGACUCUCUUAAUUGCUGCAUGACCUCCCAGAAUGGCUGCUACAGAUGGGUUUGUAGAUUUGAAUGUUGAGUUGUUUGCGAGGUCUAUUUGUGUUCAAAUCAUAUACAUUUUACCCUUAAGUUAGGUUAAAGCGUAUGAAUAGCCAAACUGUUAUCAUGUUUAACAUCUAUGUAUUACCAUUAAUCAUGUGUCUGUAGAUUUUAACGAAAGCAAUGGGGCUGUUUGACACUAAAAUGUUCACUCAUUGAGGGUAAAUAUGAAUAGCCAAAUUGUUAUUAUGUUUAAUACAUAAUCAUAUGUUUGUGGAUUUUAACAAACUAGGUAUCUGAUAUUUGUCAGCUGCGAUUUGUCUAACACUCCUGAACGUAGAAAUUUAAAGGGGUAAUCUCUGAAAGUGUUGGAUGAUUGGGAUAAAGGAUCUUCACAGAAGCUAUUCUUUGAACUCUGCUUUGGAACAUGUGGUCUUUUAAUAGCUGAAUGAAAAGAUAAUUCUAUGGUAGUUUUGCCCUCUACUGUUUUCAUGGCUGUGAUUAUGUGCUUGGACUUGACAGAAAGGCAUCUGAGUCGUGUUUUCAUAUUAUUGUUGUUUUGACCUUGGAUUGCUGCAAUCAUCAUCUUCCAAUUUUGAUGUUUAUUGAAUCUCAAGGGGUGUAACUCAGAUUUCCAAACUGACCCUUCCUCGAAAUAUAUUUUGUUUGGCUUAGCUUGUAGGCACCUGUGGGGUUGCAUCACUAAUAUUUGGAUGAGUUUUGUAGUUUCACAUUUAUGCCCUUCACUUAUUAGGACAUGAUUUGCUGGUAAGUGAACCUCAACUAGGGGGAGGAUGCAAGGGAAAAAUGUGUU
RNAcentral lists this long non-coding RNA (2077 nucleotides) under Nicotiana benthamiana. RNAcentral describes it as "long non-coding RNA (NBEN_LNC021548)". The record is from RNAcentral. Lineage: Eukaryota; Viridiplantae; Streptophyta; Magnoliopsida; Solanales; Solanaceae.